Molecule: long non-coding RNA, 380 nt
Organism: Tupaia belangeri chinensis (Chinese tree shrew)
Lineage: Eukaryota; Metazoa; Chordata; Mammalia; Scandentia; Tupaiidae
Exons: 3
Source: RefSeq, a predicted model, not a curated record
CUUCUGAAAAGAGCGCUGAAUGGUUGUUACAGGCAACCUGAAAACAAACAAAUCUACCUACAACACACACCGGCUCUGAACUCGGAAGCAGCUGAAGUCAGUUGUCCUGGACGGUGAAUUAGCAAGCAGAAGGAAUCGUGGGACUUCAAAAGCUUCUUCUGGUUGAGACACACAAACGUAUGCUGUACCGAAGCCCAGCUUAGCUCGCCUAAUAACGACACUCAAGAGCUUCCACCUUUUAUUGGAAAAAAGAACAAAGCAAUUCAACGAUUAUAUUUCACACUAACAUUGUUGCAAGCCCACCAUUCUAAGAGCUUCUAAUUUCAUUUAUCCUGCUGCCAAGGAUAGUUCUUUCUAUGAAUGUUAUUAUUUCAUUUCAA